AUUAUUUUGGCAGAUUUAGUGCAUUAAAAUUAGAAUUUAAUUAAGUAAUUAUAUAAUAUUACAAGUAAUA
RNAcentral lists this transfer RNA (70 nucleotides) under Ceratina okinawana. Its description in RNAcentral is "tRNA-Leu". The record is from RNAcentral. Lineage: Eukaryota; Metazoa; Arthropoda; Insecta; Hymenoptera; Apidae.